CCUCCUUUGUGGAGCUUUUCAUUGUGAGCCUAAAUCUUUGGAUAGAGGGACAGUCUGAAUGUUGGACACUGGCCUCUUCAAGUUCUAUCUACUUUUAUAAAAACUGUAGCCGCUCGGUAGUGGAAUGCUCUGCAAUCCAGGAGAGAAAACAAUCCCUGCAGAGCAGGGGAACCUGCCACAGAAGCUGAUACUGUCAUUAGGAACAGGAAAGAAGUCUUCUCGGUGUUCCUCUGGAGAAGGUAUCAACUCUGGAAGCUGGAGAAGCUGCAUGUUGCAUUUAUCAGCUGCUUUCUUCACUCCAGGUACUUGCUGAACUCUUUGAUACCAACUGGAGAUCAGAGAAUUUGGUGUCUUACCAGGAACUGAUGGAUGCACGGCAAAAGCACUAUAUCUGCCAAGGUAAAAUAAAGCCCCUCUGCAAAAACAUGGUCUAAAGGUGGAAGGUCAGACGUUUUCGUUCUCCUGAUGAGAGGGGCUUCUCUGUUGACUGCAUGUGAUACCUCUUGGACACGUAGCUUAGAGAAAGCUACACUCAGUUCCAAACUUGGAAGUGGAUGUUCAUGCACCUCCACUGCUUUCCCUUCUUCUGUUGCUUCUUCCUCAAGCAGAGACGCUGCAGCCUUGGCACCUGCUUUCUGUUGUUGAAGCUUUUGCCUUCGAAUUUUGUCAUCGUUAUGCACUCGGACAGGCUCUCCAAGUUUUCUUUCAAGCUGUAAAAUGUCAGCAGGAAUAGUCUGACAGUGCUCAGGAGAUGCCGUCAAAAAUCCUUCAACAGCCAGAGGUAUGCUGAUCUCACAGAGUCUGGUCCACUGGCUAACCUGUCAAAUAAAUGUAUCUAAUAAAU
RNAcentral lists this long non-coding RNA (844 nucleotides) under Gallus gallus (chicken). The record is from RNAcentral. Lineage: Eukaryota; Metazoa; Chordata; Aves; Galliformes; Phasianidae.